UACGGAGGAUCCGAGCGUUAUCCGGACAUAUUGGGUUUAAAGGGUCCGUAGGCGGGAUAAUAAGUCAGCGGUGAAAGUCUGUGGCUCAACCAUAGAAUUGCAAUUGAUACUGUUGUUCUUGAGUGCUUAUGAAGUGGUUAGAAUAUGUAGUGUAGCGGUGAAAUGCAUAGAUAUUACAUAGAAUACCGAUUGCGUAGGCAGAUCACUAAUAAUAUACUGACGCUGAUGGACGAAAGCGUAGGUAGCGAACAGG
This 253-nucleotide unclassified non-coding RNA is filed under the name uncultured Flavobacteriaceae bacterium. RNAcentral describes it as "contains 16S-23S intergenic spacer region". It matches the Rfam family "Bacterial small subunit ribosomal RNA", at positions 524 to 776 of the family's 1533-position model. The record is from RNAcentral. Lineage: Bacteria; Pseudomonadati; Bacteroidota; Flavobacteriia; Flavobacteriales; Flavobacteriaceae.